CGCUUUUCUUACUACUGAAACUGCUAAUUGCAUGUGUAGAGGAACUGAGGAAUGCUGCUAUCAUUUCGAUCACCAGAAAACAAAAAAGCAAACCCCUCACCCUGGUCCUAGAAAAACUACCGAUUGCAGUCCUGUUCAUGAUCAGAAAGCACGGGAAUUCAGAAUUUGCUCUUGUGAUCGGUAUUAUGUCAAAUGCAUAAGAAAAGUUGGGAGGGAAUAGGUACUGUUUGAGUGACAGCAAGUAAAGAAGAAGUUGUGCGUUCAAUCAUUGAUGAACAUCUUGUAGGAAGUUGCAUAUGACAGCAAAGAAACGUGGGGUAUACCUGCUAGCCCAAGCUUGUGCACUCUGCAUAUUGCCAAUUUUGGCAUAUCAGUACGGUACGUAGACAAAGCUCUAUUUGAUAACCCCUUUACUUGUGGCUUGAACUAAAAGUAUUAUUACAAGCACUUAAUUUCGUUACAGACAGACAUAAUAGUUGAACUGUGCUAGCAAGGCUGAAAGUAAAUAUAGUCCAAAGAAAUCAAACAUCAAGGCUAUAUGUUCUGCAACUAGACUAUCUGAAGUUCUAUUGGCAGGGUUUUGUACAUUUCUGCAAUGAAAAUUAAAGUUGUAACUGUAUGGAUUUUUUUUAGGGAAAUGGAUUUGUUCUAUCAGAUAUAUAUGUAGUCUAGCAGCAUGCUCAAGAAUAUGUAGGUAGCUAGGCAGUCCAAUUUAAUCUACCAUCCUCUUUGGUAGUUUACUGAAAUUAUCAUCUACAGUCUACUACAGAAAACCAUAAUAAACAAUAAGGACAAAUCGUAUAGUAUUUUGCAACUAAAAAUGUCAUCCCAAUAUACAAUGAUGAGAUUCUGGCAUAUAAUUAAUUGGCGAAAAAGGGUGAGAACGUACAGGAAAGUCUUAGAAUUUUAAAGAUUAAAGACACCCGAAGCCAAAGCACAUAAGCCAAUUUUUGGCUUAUUCGAGGACCUUGGUCACCUGAUAUAAUAUAUAUAUCCUUGAUAGUCC
Molecule: long non-coding RNA, 1006 nt
Filed under: Setaria italica (foxtail millet)
Lineage: Eukaryota; Viridiplantae; Streptophyta; Magnoliopsida; Poales; Poaceae
Description: long non-coding RNA (SITA_LNC004688)
Source: RNAcentral